GGAGCAGCCCAGAGCCUGAAUCAGUGUGUGUGUUAGUGGAAGCGUCUGGAAAGGCGUGCGAUACAGGGUGACAGCCCCGUACACAAAAAUGCACAUACUGUGAGCUCGAUGAGUAGGGCGGGACACGUGGUAUCCUGUCUGAAUAUGGGGGGACCAUCCUCCAAGGCUAAAUACUCCUGACUGACCGAUAGUGAACCAGUACCGUGAGGGAAAGGCGAAAAGAACCCCGGCGAGGGGAGUGAAAAAGAACCUGAAACCGUGUACGUACAAGCAGUGGGAGCACGCUUAGGCGUGUGACUGCGUACCUUUUGUAUAAUGGGUCAGCGACUUAUAUUCUGUAGCAAGGUUAACCGAAUAGGGGAGCCGAAGGGAAACCGAGUCUUAACUGGGCGUUAAGUUGCAGGGUAUAGACCCGAAACCCGGUGAUCUAGCCAUGGGCAGGUUGAAGGUUGGGUAACACUAACUGGAGGACCGAACCGACUAAUGUUGAAAAAUUAGCGGAUGACUUGUGGCUGGGGGUGAAAGGCCAAUCAAACCGGGAGAUAGCUGGUUCUCCCCGAAAGCUAUUUAGGUAGCGCCUCGUGAAUUCAUCUCCGGGGGUAGAGCACUGUUUCGGCAAGGGGGUCAUCCCGACUUACCAACCCGAUGCAAACUGCGAAUACCGGAGAAUGUUAUCACGGGAGACACACGGCGGGUGCUAACGUCCGUCGUGAAGAGGGAAACAACCCAGACCGCCAGCUAAGGUCCCAAAGUCAUGGUUAAGUGGGAAACGAUGUGGGAAGGCCCAGACAGCCAGGAUGUUGGCUUAGAAGCAGCCAUCAUUUAAAGAAAGCGUAAUAGCUCACUGGUCGAGUCGGCCUGCGCGGAAGAUGUAACGGGGCUAAACCAUGCACCGAAGCUGCGGCAGCGACGCUUAUGCGUUGUUGGGUAGGGGAGCGUUCUGUAAGCCUGUGAAGGUGUGCUGUGAGGUAUGCUGGAGGUAUCAGAAGUGCGAAUGCUGACAUAAGUAACGAUAAAGCGGGUGAAAAGCCCGCUCGCCGGAAGACCAAGGGUUCCUGUCCAACGUUAAUCGGGGCAGGGUGAGUCGACCCCUAAGGCGAGGCCGAAAGGCGUAGUCGAUGGGAAACAGGUUAAUAUUCCUGUACUUGGUGUUACUGCGAAGGGGGGACGGAGAAGGCUAUGUUGGCCGGGCGACGGUUGUCCCGGUUUAAGCGUGUAGGCUGGUUUUCCAGGCAAAUCCGGAAAAUCAAGGCCGAGGCGUGAUGACGAGGCACUACGGUGCUGAAGCAACAAAUGCCCUGCUUCCAGGAAAAGCCUCUAAGCAUCAGGUAACAUCAAAUCGUACCCCAAACCGACACAGGUGGUCAGGUAGAGAAUACCAAGGCGCUUGAGAGAACUCGGGUGAAGGAACUAGGCAAAAUGGUGCCGUAACUUCGGGAGAAGGCACGCUGAUACGUAGGUGAAGCGACUUGCUCGUGGAGCUGAAAUCAGUCGAAGAUACCAGCUGGCUGCAACUGUUUAUUAAAAACACAGCACUGUGCAAACACGAAAGUGGACGUAUACGGUGUGACGCCUGCCCGGUGCCGGAAGGUUAAUUGAUGGGGUUAGCGCAAGCGAAGCUCUUGAUCGAAGCCCCGGUAAACGGCGGCCGUAACUAUAACGGUCCUAAGGUAGCGAAAUUCCUUGUCGGGUAAGUUCCGACCUGCACGAAUGGCGUAAUGAUGGCCAGGCUGUCUCCACCCGAGACUCAGUGAAAUUGAACUCGCUGUGAAGAUGCAGUGUACCCGCGGCAAGACGGAAAGACCCCGUGAACCUUUACUAUAGCUUGACACUGAACAUUGAGCCUUGAUGUGUAGGAUAGGUGGGAGGCUUUGA
RNAcentral lists this ribosomal RNA (1875 nucleotides) under Escherichia coli. RNAcentral describes it as "partial 23S ribosomal RNA". It matches the Rfam family "Bacterial large subunit ribosomal RNA", at positions 294 to 2160 of the family's 2925-position model. RNAcentral also lists the same sequence under 2 other names. Lineage: Bacteria; Pseudomonadati; Pseudomonadota; Gammaproteobacteria; Enterobacterales; Enterobacteriaceae. The record is from RNAcentral.